Molecule: long non-coding RNA, 2947 nt
Organism: Heterocephalus glaber (naked mole-rat)
Lineage: Eukaryota; Metazoa; Chordata; Mammalia; Rodentia; Bathyergidae
Source: Ensembl
UGACGCCCCUCCAAGGCUCCAGCUCGGGAGCAACUUUCCUGUAGGUCGGUGCGCUGCUGGCGGGGGCUGCUGAGAGCAAGGUUGAGAGCUGGAACCAGGAGGGGCCGCGAAUAAAGAGUCUGGAGCAGAGGGGUCCCGGCCUCGCCCGCCCAAAUUGGGUCCAGGAAUCGGCUGGACGUGGACCUCCAUACCCCGCGGGGAUGCCGCUCGGGGAGGGCAGAGACCGGAAGUGCAGUCUGUGACCUGGGCGGCACGAGCAGUAUGGGACCCUCCCUCCGCUGCUCCUGCUUGUGUUGAGAUGGAUUUUGAAGAGGGAAAUACUGACUAAUCCAUGAAAAUCCUCUCCCAGUCUAACUCCUUUCGAAACUGCCUGUGGCUGCCUGCUGGUACAGUGCCAACGAUUUCAGAAAAAUAAAAAUAAAAGAUGUUCCUGUCGUCUAAAUGCUUUCUUCACACAGUUCGAAAGACUUCAUUUUGAUCCAAGAGCGAAAUAAAACAUCAGGCUAAUAUGAAAUCUUUAAAAUAAAAAUACACAAAAUCAAAGGUACUUUUCAGAAAGGAAACUGGAGAAAGUAUGCGUGUUUCAGGCAUUUAGACUUUCGUGUCAAUUUACCCAAAGGUGUGUGAUCUCACUCAAGCUUUGUUUCUACUUUUCACCAUUGCUUCUCCUUGUUAUUGUUCUUGAAUAGGGGCUGUUUUACUGGUGGAGGGAGAUGCUUACAGCAGCAAAGUGGACACAUUUAGGUACCCAGUGACCAAGUUAAAGAAGGGAAGAAAGAUAAAACACCUAGUAGAGAAAUUUUGCUCAAAGCUCUCCUCAGAGGGAGAAUGUCACUGAAGGAGGUAUGCCAUUAUCCGGGUCCCGGCCUACAGAGUCAAGUCAGGCCUGGAAGGAAGGCACCCACUGGAAAUAAAGUAAAAGGGGAAGUUGUUGUCUUCGGAGCCCAGGAAGGGCCUGCAUGAAGAGUUACGUUGACGCCUGUGUGACGGAGACCUCCUGUGAGGGUAAAGGGCUACAGGAAAUGCCACACAAGUCUCAGAGUGUGCCUAGUUUAGUUUUCUAGCCCUGAGGGUUAGAACGCUAAUCUUUUGUAAAUGCGAAGGGGACCCAGAGGUGGAGGGAAGGGAAGGGAGAAGGGAAGGGGGGUAAAAAGAAUUAAAAUGUGUUAUGUACAAGUCCCAGUUCCCCACUAUGAAAGUGAUCGUUAUGUACUGCAAACAUGUACAAAUAACUUUUUAAAAAUUUUAACAAGCUGAUAAGCUAAAAUGGAGCUAAGAAAAUAUCAGCGAGCCACUGUAGGUGAAGACCUGAUGAUUAAGCUUCAGUGAUCCAGUCUGAACUGGGCUUUGAGAACAGUACUCUCAUAUCCAGGAGAUGUUACAGCCUGCAGUAUACCACGGUGACUUCUGUCUUACCUGCAGUGAGGGACAGAAGAAGUGGCUGUCUCAGGCAGCUCUGCAUCUGUGGGGCGCAUCUCCACACUGCCCCUCUUACCCUUCUAGGUCCACUCACACAGCACUCGGCUCAGUUUUCCUGAAUGGAGAAGGCUCUCUUUUGUUCUGCAGGGAUUUUAUACAUGUUGUUUCUUCCUUAAUGUGCCUCCGUCUCACCUGGCUCCCGCCUACUCAGCUUUCAAGUCUCAGUUUAAAUGCCAUUUCCUCCUAGCGGCUUCCCCUGACAACCUCCCACCAACUACAUUAGUCCCCUAAUUACAUUCCCAAGUCAUACUACCGAUCCCAUUUCACAAUAUUCCUCACUCAGGACUCUAAGCUAGCUCUACCCGGUUCAUGGUGUGUCUGCUCAGUGAGUAGCAUACGGUGCUGAUCCAGCAAAGGUAACCAAGAGCAAGUGGCAACAGGCAGAUGCAGCCUGCCUGGCUCAGCAUCCCCACGUUCACCUUAGCUAUGUAGCUGACAGUUGUGAUUGUGCACAAACCGUGAGUCACCACUAGCUACUGUCUUUUUAGCUGUACAAGUACAAGGGGGAGGAAAGGAAGCUCAUUAUACAGAAAAUAGUUUUCUACCAUUAAUGAGGCAUUGUAUUUAUACAACAACUUCUUUUCCUUUUCAGAGCAGCUUUUGAAGGUCACUAUCUUAGUUUUAAUAGCAUUGGGAAAUACUCAACCACAGUCAUUUAAAUUUUUUAUCUUUCUUUAAAAAGCAGCCUCAAUAUUCACAUGUUUUAUUUCUAUAGACCAAGAACAAACAAAUAAAUCCAUUUGGGGAGCAGCUAGCUGAUUUGACCAAUAUGAGCAGGACUUCUAGUAUUCUACUUUUUCUGAAUAGAAUGGGAAACCUUUUCUGCUUUCAGUCUAAAUCACUGAAUGAUUGUCAAAUCCCCUUUCAUCUGGGACUACUUCUAAAAAUUUAGUAGACACUGGAAGACAUAAAGGAAAUGUAAAGUUAAUCUCAAAAUUUUAGAAUGGAUAUAUGGCAAAACUGGAAACAGAACAAAGAUAUGAGUUUAAUCUUUACUUUAAUCUUUACUGCAUCUAUUGUCUGUAGAUAUGUUUUAUAAGUUCCCCAGUUCUAUUAGGUGAUUAGAACAAAUCUUGUACUUUAAAUUAAAUGUUUAAAAAGCACACCCAUUACAUUAGAAUAUGUCCAAAUUGUAAUCUCACCACUGAAUCCUGUCCCUCCUUGUAAUGACCACAGAUGUAAUGCUCAUCUUGUCUCUUACUAACUGCUGAAAGAAUGAGUUAUUUUAUUAUGUAGUAGAUUGCACAUUAACACUCCUCAGAGCUCUGAAAUGUCUCUCAAGCUUCCCCUUGAGGCAUAUUUCUGAAUCUCCCUGUUUCCUCAGAGAAACCAUGAGGAUAUUAUGAAGCUUACAAGAUAUAUAAUGCGAUUUUAUUGGUCAAUAAAAUUCUAUUCAAAUGGGUAUGAAAUUUUAAAACUACCAUGUAGGCCAAAAAAAUAAAAAAGAACAAAAGAACCAAAGUCAUAG